Molecule: non-coding RNA, 205 nt
Organism: Pelobates cultripes (western spadefoot toad)
Lineage: Eukaryota; Metazoa; Chordata; Amphibia; Anura; Pelobatidae
Source: the annotation of a GenBank genome assembly
GGUUGAUCUUGCAAAUGCCUUUUUCAGCGUGCCCUUGGAUCCCUCUUGCUUUCAUAAAUGACCAUCAACAGUAUACAUGGACUGUCAUGCCUCAAGGUGCACAAAAUUCCCCAACCCAAUUCGCAAAAGCUAUACUAGAACCCUGGCAGAAGUCCCACCCAGACGUGGUCCUGCUCCAGUAUGUAGAUGAUUUACUUCUCUGUGC